GUGUCAGCAGCCGCGGUAAUACGUAGGAUGCGAGCGUUGUCCGGAAUUAUUGGGCGUAAAGCGAACGUAGGCGGUUACUUAAGUCUGGACUUAAAGACUGAGGCUCAACCUCAGGAGUGGUUCGGAUACUGGGUGACUAGAGGAUGUCAGAGGAAAGUGGAAUUCCAAGUGUAGCGGUGAAAUGCGUAGAUAUUUGGAGGAACACCAGUGGCGAAAGCGGCUUUCUGGGACAUUCCUGACGCUGAGGUUCGAAAGCUCGGGGAGCAAACAGGAUUAGAUACCCUGGUAGUCC
RNAcentral lists this ribosomal RNA (292 nucleotides) under uncultured bacterium. RNAcentral's name for it is "partial 16S ribosomal RNA". It matches the Rfam family "Bacterial small subunit ribosomal RNA", at positions 505 to 796 of the family's 1533-position model. The record is from RNAcentral.